UGAACGCUGGCGGAAUGCUUUACACAUGCAAGUCGAGCGGCAGCGCGGGGCAACCUGGCGGCGAGCGGCGAACGGGUGAGUAACACAUCGGAACGUACCCUGUUGUGGGGGAUAGCCCGGCGAAAGCCGGAUUAAUACCGCAUAAGACCUGAGGGUGAAAGCGGGGGACCGCAAGGCCUCGCGCGACAGGAGCGGCCGAUGGCGGAUUAGCUAGUUGGUGGGGUAAAGGCUCACCAAGGCGACGAUCCGUAGCUGGUCUGAGAGGAUGAUCAGCCACACUGGAACUGAGACACGGUCCAGACUCCUACGGGAGGCAGCAGUGGGGAAUUUUGGACAAUGGGGGCAACCCUGAUCCAGCCAUUCCGCGUGAGUGAAGAAGGCCUUCGGGUUGUAAAGCUCUUUCGGCAGGAACGAAACGGUGGGCUCUAACAUAGUCUGCUAAUGACGGUACCUGAAGAAGAAGCACCGGCUAACUACGUGCCAGCAGCCGCGGUAAUACGUAGGGUGCGAGCGUUAAUCGGAAUUACUGGGCGUAAAGCGUGCGCAGGCGGUUUCGUAAGACAGAUGUGAAAUCCCCGGGCUUAACC
RNAcentral lists this ribosomal RNA (587 nucleotides) under uncultured Gammaproteobacteria bacterium. RNAcentral describes it as "bacterial SSU rRNA". It matches the Rfam family "Bacterial small subunit ribosomal RNA", at positions 30 to 614 of the family's 1533-position model. The record is from RNAcentral. Lineage: Bacteria; Pseudomonadati; Pseudomonadota; Gammaproteobacteria.